RNAcentral lists this long non-coding RNA (1088 nucleotides) under Ananas comosus (pineapple). RNAcentral describes it as "long non-coding RNA (ACOM_LNC037090)". Lineage: Eukaryota; Viridiplantae; Streptophyta; Magnoliopsida; Poales; Bromeliaceae. The record is from RNAcentral.
ACAUCAUCGUCGUCGCCUUCCCCGGUAUAUCGUGCUAGUCCUAUACUAAUAAUCAUCUAAUGAUCCAUUAAAUAAUUAUUUAUUCCGUCUUUCCCAUAUAUUUUCACGGCCUCUAAAUAUCAUUUUUCAUGUCACGGUCUACAUAUAAGUCAUCGUCCUCGCUGGAUAUUUUCACGGCCUCUAAAUAUCAUUUUUCAUAUCACGGUCUACAUGUAAGUCAUUGUCCUCGCUGGAUAUUUUCACAGCCUCUAAAUAUUAUUUUUCAUGUCACGGUCUACAUGUAAGUCAUCGUCCUCAAUGGCAUCGAUACUGGCACAUCAUCGUCGUCGCCUUUGCCGGUAUAUCGUGCUAGUCCUGUACUAAUAAUCAUCUAAUGAUCCAUUAAAAAAUUAUUUAUUCCCUCUUUCUCAUAUAUUUUCACGACCUCUAAAUAUCAUUUUUCAUGUCACGGUCUACAUGUAAGUCAUCGUCCUCGUUGGCAUCGACACUGGCACAUCAUCGUCGUCGCCUUCGUACUAGUCCUAUACUACUAAUAAUCAUCUAAUGAUCCAUUAGUAGGGAUGCAAACAGGGCGGAUCUGGGGGUGGAAGCCCAGCCCCGCCUCCCGCUCCGAAUCCAUGACGGGUUGAAAAUAGUUAUCCCAUAAUCCGUCCCGCCUUAUAACUCGCCUCCCGCCGGCACCCCGAAUCCGCCCCGCCAAAUAGUAUUUGUUUUAUAAAUUAUAAUAUUAUUAAUAUUUUAUAAAUAUAAAUCAACAAAAUUUUUAAUAUUAAUUGAUAAUAUUAUCAAGUUAUAUAUAAUUAAUAAUAUCAAUUAUAAAAAUCAAAAAUAUCAAUCACAACUGGCAACAAAAUUUAAAAAUUUUAAAUACUUAUAUAUGGAAAAAUUUUAAAGACAUACAUUCGGGGCAGAUUUGGGGCGGAUCAUGGCGGUGCGGAUUCGGGACGGAUUCGGGGCGGAUCAUGGCAGGGCGGAUUCGGGACGGAUAAAAUUUUUCCGUUUCCUGCCCCGAAUCCGUUUAUUUCCUCUCGUUUACUGUCCCAUUCGGGGUGGAUCGGGGAGGGAGCUCCACCACUCCGGAUCCAUUU